CCUACGGGAGGCAGCAGUGGGGGAUAUUGCACAAUGGGGGAAACCCUGAUGCAGCGACGCCGCGUGGGUGAAGAAGUAUUUCGGUAUGUAAAGCCCUAUCAGCAGGGAAGAAAGAAGACGGUACCUGACUAAGAAGCCCCGGCUAACUACGUGCCACCAGCCGCGGUAAUACGUAGGGGGCGAGCGUUAUCCGGAUUCACUGGGUGUAAAGGGAGCGUAGACGGCCGUGCAAGCCAGGAGUGAAAGCCCGGGGCCCAACCCCGGGACUGCUCUUGGAACUGUGCGGCUGGAGUGCGGGAGGGGCAGGCGGAAUUCCUGGUGUAGCGGUGAAAUGCGUAGAUAUCAGGAGGAACACCGGCGGCGAAGGCGGCCUGCUGGACCGCGACUGACGUUGAGGCUCGAAAGCGUGGGGAGCGAACAGGAUUAGAUACCCGUGUAGUC
This 441-nucleotide ribosomal RNA is filed under the name uncultured bacterium. Its description in RNAcentral is "partial 16S ribosomal RNA". It matches the Rfam family "Bacterial small subunit ribosomal RNA", at positions 338 to 795 of the family's 1533-position model. The record is from RNAcentral.